RNAcentral lists this ribosomal RNA (322 nucleotides) under uncultured eukaryote. Its description in RNAcentral is "partial 18S ribosomal RNA". It matches the Rfam family "Eukaryotic small subunit ribosomal RNA", at positions 1470 to 1796 of the family's 1831-position model. The record is from RNAcentral.
CCCUUAGCUGUUCUGGGCCGCACGCGUGCUACACUGAGUAAUUCAAUGGGUAAGGGAACGCUAGAGCAUUACCUAAUCUUGAAAUUUGCUCGUGAUGGGGAUCGACGGUUGCAAUUUUCCGUCGUGAACGAGGAAUACCUUGUAGGCGCAUGUCAUCAUCAUGCGCCGAAUACGUCCCUGCCCUUUGUACACACCGCCCGUCGCUCCUACCGAUUGAGUGAUCCGGUGAGGCUCUGGGACCUGGACGGAAAGAGCGUUUCGCUUGUUCUGUUUGGGAAACUUGGUCGAACCUUAUCAUUUAGAGGAAGGAGAAGUCGUAACA